Drosophila virilis is the source of this 1553-nucleotide long non-coding RNA. RefSeq lists it as uncharacterized. The record is from RefSeq and is a predicted model, not a curated record. Lineage: Eukaryota; Metazoa; Arthropoda; Insecta; Diptera; Drosophilidae.
GCGGCUCGUGCUUUAGCUCUGGCUCCUCUUGCAUUUUUGCUAGUUACCUACAUUCACAGGGGUCAUACGAGGAAAUGAAAAAAAGUGUACAACAUUGUGACGUACAUACCCAGGCGUACGUAUCGGAGGCGUACAGCUAUAUAUAUAUAUUGAUAUGCGGCCCAAACACUGCUCAGAGCGGGCCAGCUAGCUCUUCAACAUGCUCCUUCACGUCGCACCGUUCCAAAAUAACGUUUGCUCAUAACUAUGCCAGUAUAUGGAUCUUGACUACGUAUGUUACGAUUUAUAUUUUAGAUAUUGACGACCCAGCCAGUGCACAGUUUGACACUAGACCCAAAGGCAUCUGGACAGCUAAGUAUAAAGAGUAUAUCAAUUUAAUCUGAUAGUAACUAAUGUUACCUUCCAGGUGCAAGAAUAGCAACGGGCCGUAAACGAGCUGUGCUUCAACUAGGCACAAAUAUAAAACACAAAUUACUCAAGAGUUUCACCUGAUCAGAGAUUCGUACAGCUCUAGAGCUGUUCUUUAGCCAGCGUAGCCUUAGGAAACAAUCUUAAAAGCUGCAAGACUUCUCUGCAAUUGAUUCGGUUUUUGGUUUACUUUUGCCUCGUUAAACAAAAUUUAAGCUUUAUUUGUCCCGACUUAGGUAUUAAGCUGUAAUUUCCACUGUAGAUUUCAGGCAAUUCCACCCGCUUGUGUGGAAAAAUCGCGAAAAUCGUACGUGUGAAACUUUGUUUGCUUACCUUCCGAUCGUGUUAAAACUUAUUUUCAAAGAUUUGUACAAGAAUUUAUCUUAAACGUGCCACGGCCAAGGCCGGGCUAUGCCCUCUAUGAUCCUAUAUACACAUAGGUCGAAUUUUCCCAACACAUAAAUAGGUCAAAUCUCAUCCGAUUUUCACGAUAUUUGACUCUUUCUUCAUGGCUUGGCCUCCAGAUAAAUAUGGCAACAACAUUUUCUUGUAUAUAAAAUGUUUGAGAAAUUGUUUGUAACAAGCUGAUAAAAACAUCUCAGCAACAGCCCAUUAGGUAUUUAUAUAGUUCCUGCCCAUACUUCGUUCCGACUUGGCUUUUUAGGUAUAACUAGAGAAAAAAAAGCUAGAUAAGCCGAAAACUUGGGUUUGGUUCGACGUUCGGCGAGACGUUGGUUCGAAGCGUGAUUUGAACCAGCGAAAAGUUCUGUUGGGCUUGCCAGCCAGGAUAGCUUCAAGCCGAUUUCGUAUUCUUUGAAAGUGCAUUGAAACUAUAUAAUAAUUAUAGGCCUUCCCUUGAAACCAACGAGAUAUAAAACAGGCAAUAGUACGACAAGAAAAUAAUAACAUUUAAUUGCGUGAUUUAUAAAUAUGAAUUAAAUUAAUCAAAUUUAAUAAUAAUUUGCAUUACACUUAAGUUAUUACAGUUAAGUAUGAGUAGUAAGUCAGUAUUUAUAUAUUUUAGCAAAAACGAAAAAAAAAAAAAACAUAGUGUAAUUAUUUAGGCCAAUUCUGAAUUCUAUUUUGUUGAGCCCAAAGUCAACUUUGGGAAACUGCGGUGAUUUUCUUCUUUUUUUUUUUUAGUA